Molecule: long non-coding RNA, 1176 nt
Organism: Equus caballus (horse)
Lineage: Eukaryota; Metazoa; Chordata; Mammalia; Perissodactyla; Equidae
Source: RefSeq, a predicted model, not a curated record
AGUGCUCUCUGUUCCACAGUCACAUAGAGUCAGCGCCUCCUCCUCAUGAUAGGCCUUGAGCUAUUUAAUCAUGGUGCCAUAUUUCUCUCCAGGCCUUCACUUCUCUGAACCGAACGUCCCUGGUCCCUCCGAUAUUGCUUCAUAGAAGAUGCUCCUUCCUUCUCACUUUUGUCUGCAUGAGUUCUGUUUUCUCGGUGUACCUUGUGAAGCUUGGGGUCCCCGGUGAGGGGUUACAGAGCUACUCCAACUGGAACUUUGUUUUCCACAACCUGGGAUUUCAGCCGCGUGUUCAGCAGAUGCUCAGAGACGGGCUGCCGUGCCAGGAACUUAUCCCAAUGCUGGGAACACACACGGUGGACAAAAUGGACAAAACCCAGGUAUAGUCCGACAAUAAUGGGAAGAGACUGGAAAGCUGAAGCUCUUCUCUAGAUCAGCAUGGAACAAAGAGUGGUGCGAAAGACCUGGAAAACAAUUUCUACAAAUGAAGAAAGAGGAAGUAACAUCUGGCAAUGAGAUGACCUUCAAAACUGAAGCUUAGGACACAAGUCUCAGAGACAGACCUUGGAAACUUGCUAGAGGCCUCCUUCCCACACAUAAGUAAAAACCUUCCAUCACCCCAUCGAAGGUCCCAGCUGGGAAAUUAUUGGUAGUCUGUGGGCCACUGUGCACCCCACUUUUCCACUGAGGCGAUCCCCUCCCUGACUCCAUGUCAUCAAUCCUAGAGCACAACCUCCACCUGGAGCCAAUCAGAACAUCCCAUCCCUUGGCCACUGCAGUUGCUCUGGAAAGCAUUUACGAACCCAAUGGGGCGCUUAGAGUUCUCCUCGGGACUUGCGUGUGCCCUGACAAGGAGAUGGUUUCUUUCCCUUUGGGGGUUGAUAGCUAUGUACAGUGGCCGUCUUUCUUGCCUAAGGAGAGUGUCUAGCUGAGAAUGAAGUGGAUGCUCCCAGGGAGGCAGAGCUGAGAGAUGGAGAAAGUGACAGAGCCCUUUCCAAGAGGCUGGGCGGCAUGGUGGUGGGCGCUGGGCCCUAGAGCCUGGUGGCCGGCUCCCUGAACACGUUCAUCCCUCUCAGUGCUUUCAUGACCUCAGUUCUAAAGCGGGUGGCAGUUGUGGCCAUCUCAGGAUUGUUGUGAGGAUUAAACAAAUCCAUUUCUAAAAAUCACGUCUGGCUCCUA